GUCGAGUGUGGCCUGAAAUUC
This 21-nucleotide non-coding RNA is filed under the name Arabidopsis thaliana (thale cress). The record is from RNAcentral. Lineage: Eukaryota; Viridiplantae; Streptophyta; Magnoliopsida; Brassicales; Brassicaceae.